UACGUAGGGACCGAGCGUUGUCCGGAUUCAUUGGGCGUAAAGAGCUCGUAGGCGGCCACUCACGUCGACUGUGAAACCUCGAGGCUUAACCUCGAGCCUGCAUUUGAUACUGGGCGGCUAGAGUCUGGUAGGGGGAUCUGGAAUUCCUGGUGUAGCGGUGAAAUGCGCAGAUAUCAGGAGGAACACCGGUGGCGAAGGCGGGACUCUGGGCCGAUACUGACGCUGAGGAGCGAAAGCGUGGGGAGCAAACAGG
RNAcentral lists this ribosomal RNA (253 nucleotides) under uncultured bacterium. Its description in RNAcentral is "partial 16S ribosomal RNA". It matches the Rfam family "Bacterial small subunit ribosomal RNA", at positions 524 to 776 of the family's 1533-position model. The record is from RNAcentral.